CGGAGUAUGGCGCAGCCCGGGAGCGCAACUGCUUUGGGAGCAGAAGGUCCGAGGUUCAAAUCCUCGUACUCCGACCA
This 77-nucleotide transfer RNA is filed under the name Undibacterium hunanense. Its description in RNAcentral is "Undibacterium sp. CY18W tRNA-Pro". It matches the Rfam family "tRNA". From Rfam's summary of the family: Transfer RNA (tRNA) molecules are approximately 80 nucleotides in length. Their secondary structure includes four short double-helical elements and three loops (D, anti-codon, and T loops). The record is from RNAcentral. RNAcentral also lists the same sequence under 1 other name. Lineage: Bacteria; Pseudomonadati; Pseudomonadota; Betaproteobacteria; Burkholderiales; Oxalobacteraceae.